This 253-nucleotide ribosomal RNA is filed under the name uncultured bacterium. RNAcentral describes it as "partial 16S ribosomal RNA". It matches the Rfam family "Bacterial small subunit ribosomal RNA", at positions 524 to 776 of the family's 1533-position model. The record is from RNAcentral.
UACAGAGGUGGCAAGCGUUGCUCGGAAUUACUGGGCGUAAAGGGCGCGUAGGCGGUCGGCAAAGUCAGGGGUGAAAUCUUUCGGCUCAACCGGAAAAGUGCCUUUGAAACUAGUCGACUCGAGCGAGAUAGGGGCACGUGGAACUUCCGGUGGAGCGGUGAAAUGCGUUGAUAUCGGAAGGAACGCCGGUGGCGAAAGCGACGUGCUGGAUCUCUUCUGACGCUGAGGCGCGAAAGCUAGGGGAGCAAACGGG